RNAcentral lists this ribosomal RNA (850 nucleotides) under Portugala inchoata. RNAcentral describes it as "partial 16S ribosomal RNA". The record is from RNAcentral. Lineage: Eukaryota; Metazoa; Mollusca; Gastropoda; Stylommatophora; Hygromiidae.
GUAACUACAAUAAAAAUAAAUAUUUUAUCACGAAUUUGGAUGAGCUAAAAAAUAAUUAAUAUUAGUUAUUGUUCUAUAUGUAGCAAAAUAUAUAUUUAAUUAUUUCUUAGAGGUGAAAUGCUUGUCAAGUCCAACGAUAUCUUGAUUUACAGGAAAAUUAUUUAGUAAAAUAGCAACUUAAAAGUAUUAAGAUUUUUAAGGGGUAUUAAGUAAAUUAUAUUAUAUAUAAAUUGUUUAACUGCAAUUAUAUAAGGUAACUUAUAAUACAGUGUUAUAAGACUAUAUCUAUUACUGUAACACAAGUACGUAUACGUAUUAUUUGUAAAUAAUGUUAUUAUUAGUAUUAAAAUAUCUUUAGUUAAGGAACUCGGCAAUUUUUUACUCAACUGUUUACCAAAAACAUUGCUUUGUGAAUAUUAUACAAGGUUAACCCUGCUCAAUGGUUUACUAAAUAGCCGCAGUACUCUGACUGUGCAAAGGUAGCAUAAUCAUUUGGCUUAUAAUUGAAGUCUGGCAUGAAUGGGAACAUGGGUAAAUACUGUCUUAUUUAAAUAGGUAAAAUUUACUUAAAAGGUGAAAAUUCCUUUAUAUACACUAAAGACGAGAAGACCCUAGAAAUUUUUUAUAUUCAUUUAUAACACGUAUUUUGUUGGGGCGACAUAGUAGCAAAUUUAACCUACUUAAAUUAAUAUGACCUUAUUUAAUAGCAUGGCUAAAUUACUCUAGGGAUAACAGCAUAAUGUAAUUAAGUUUGUGACCUCGAUGUUGGACUAGGAAACUUAAUGUCUAGAAGAUAUUAAUUAAGGCUCUGUUCGAGCUGUAUUUCCUACAUGAUCUGAGUUCAGACCGG